UACGUAGGUGGCAAGCGUUGUCCGGAUUUAUUGGGCGUAAAGGGAACGCAGGCGGUCUUUUAAGUCUGAUGUGAAAGCCUUCGGCUUAACCGAAGUCGUGCAUUGGAAACUGGGAGACUUGAGUGCAGAAGAGGAGAGUGGAACUCCAUGUGUAGCGGUGAAAUGCGUAGAUAUAUGGAAGAACACCAGUGGCGAAAGCGGCUCUCUGGUCUGUAACUGACGCUGAGGUUCGAAAGCGUGGGUAGCAAACAGG
RNAcentral lists this ribosomal RNA (253 nucleotides) under uncultured bacterium. RNAcentral's name for it is "partial 16S ribosomal RNA". It matches the Rfam family "Bacterial small subunit ribosomal RNA", at positions 524 to 776 of the family's 1533-position model. The record is from RNAcentral.